CCAAGUAAAUCAAGAGACACUGUGCUAUGGCAAAAAUUAAGAUUUACAGAAAUAUUAUUGAAGAAAACAUAACUAAUUAACAGAUGAUCAUCAAGGAUGUUAGAUGAAAGAAAUACAGCUAUUAUGUGCCUAUAAUGUUUCCCAAUAGAUUCUGUAAGAGGAAUUGUUUCUGAUAAAUUUUUCCUGUCCAAGGAAGAGUUGUUACUGAUAAAUUAAUCCAACACCUUUACAUCCAAAAGUGUGUGAUAUUGUUUUUCAAGCAGCAGGAGAGAUGAAUCCUGAAAACAGAUGUGGCAAACAACGAUGCUUUCUUCAACUCCUGAGCACUGAAAUGUAGAGUUAGAGAGAGAUUGCUAACUAUAAUUAGACCUUUCCAUCAGAUGUAGGAAGAGCAUGAUUUUCCAUUGUGGAAGAAGAAGAAGGGGUGACAGAAUUUGUGCCUUUGGAGGGAGAAGAAGAAGGAGAAGGUAGCUUCUUUGGCAACAUCUGUUCCCAGUAUUCUUUAGGUAAUCUUGAUCCUUCUGAGAGAACAACAAUGGCAAGAAGAGUCAAAAGCAAGCACUGGUGCUUCCAAGAUCCUUUCAUGAUUGUGUGUGUAGU
Molecule: long non-coding RNA, 600 nt
Filed under: Vigna radiata
Lineage: Eukaryota; Viridiplantae; Streptophyta; Magnoliopsida; Fabales; Fabaceae
Description: long non-coding RNA (VRAD_LNC005524)
Source: RNAcentral